Molecule: long non-coding RNA, 1313 nt
Filed under: Struthio camelus australis
Lineage: Eukaryota; Metazoa; Chordata; Aves; Struthioniformes; Struthionidae
Description: lncRNA (ENSSCUG00000008849.1)
Source: RNAcentral
GGAUGGGAGGAGGAGUAGACGAGUUUUCCAAGUUAACAACUGGCUGCGCCGCUGGUGUUGGCAACAGGGCUUUGGUUUCUAUGACCAUGGGACCCUGUUUGAAGAUCAACAGAUGAUGGGGAGCGAUGGGAUCCGCCUCACCAAGCGGGGCACGCGCGUCUUUCUUUGCCAACAGAUUGGCCAGCCUGGUAAGGAGGGCUUUAAACUAGGCAAGAUGGGGGAAGGGGAGUGGUAUAGUGGCAGGGGAGUCAGUAAAAUACCGCUCAAGUCAGGAGGCCUCCAGCGGGUGCAUACAGCCAGGGGAGACAGCAUGCAACAUGGCUAUGGAGGAUCCUCUUGCACCUCUCCUGGGAAGCCUGCAUGCUUGACUGGCUCUCUGAAAUGCCUGUACACCAAUGCACGCAGCAUGGGGAAUAAACAGGAAGAGUUAGAGAUCUGUGUGCGGUCGCAGGACCAUGAUCUCAUUGCGGUUACAGAGACAUGGUGGGAUAGUUCACGUGACUGGAAUGCUGUCAUGGAUGGCUAUGUGCUUUUUAGGAAAGACAGGCCAGGAAGGCGAGGUGGUGGAGUUGCUCUUUAUGUGAGGGAGCAACUAGAAUGUAUGGAGCUCUGCCUCGGGGUGGAUGAAGAGCAAGUUGAGAGCCUAUGGGUAAGGAUUAAAGGGCAGGGUAACAUGGGUGACACUGUUGUGGGGGUCUACUACAGGCCACCUGACCAGGAGGAAGUCAUCGAUGAGGCCUUCUACAGACAGCUGGAAGUAGCCUCACGAUCACAGGCCCUGGUUCUCAUGGGAGACUUCAACCACCCUGACAUCUGCUGGAAGGAGAGCACAGCCAGGCACAAACAGUCAAGGAGGUUCCUGCAGAGCAUUGAUGAUAUUUUCUUGAUCCAGGUGGUGGAGAUGCCAACGAGGAGAGGUGCAAUGCUAGACCUUGUACUAACAAACAAAGAAGGUCUAGUUGGAGAUGUGAAGGUUGGGGGCAGCCUUGGCUGCAGUGACCAUGAGAUGGUGGAGUUCAGGAUCCUGCGAGGAGGGAGCAGGGCAAUGAGUAGGAUUGCAACGCUGGACUUCAGGAGAGCUGACUUUGGCCUCUUCAGGGACCUACUUAGGGGAAUCUCAUGGGGUAGGGCCCUAGAAGGAAGAGGGGUCCAAGAAAGCUGGUUAAUAUUCAAGCAUCACCCUCCUCCAGGCUCAGGAUCAGUGCAUCCCUCUGAGGAAGAAGUUCAGCAAAGCGGGCAGGAGACCUGCAUGGAUCACCAAGGAACUCCUGGCAAAACUCCAGCAGAAGAAGGAAGUGUACAGAAUGUGGAAA